GAAUGUACAGAAGUUUGCCAUAGCGUGACUAAUGAUCGAUUAAAAUUUGAACGAAUCAAACGACGCGAAUAUUCUCGAUCUCGAAGUUUCGAAACCAGCUGUUGUCUCGAACACAAUUUCGAGCCGGUUAGCACGGGCGGCCAGACCCAUUCGAAUGCGUUUACGAUCCGAAAAAUUACACAGUAACGUUAUUUAUUUUUUUCCUUGUUUGUUUUUUUAGUGUAACACGUACGGCAUAUCGUUAAUUAACGUUACGUUAUUUAUAUACUAUAUAUUUACAAUCACAUGAAUCGUAGAUAUUCUAGUGUAUCGUUCGCCUCGUUCGACUAAUUUUCUUUCCCAGUUCCAUUUUCCCCUCCCAUAUCUCUUCACCUAACCUCUAUUUUUUUUCCAAUUUUUCCAUAGUUGUAUUCACAAUUAUUUGCCAUUAUAUUCUCACAUCUAUGUUUCAUUAAAUACUUUUCUCUCUUAGUUUUUAAUCCCGUGUUAUACCUUCUCGUUAUUUUCUCACUGUUAUUUAUUGCGCCGCUUUUUUUUUCAUUCGAGCUGAAACUUGUUCAAUAUUUUAACACCAUUGUGCAACGUAUUCGCGCGCGUACACACAUAUACAUAUAUAUAUUUAUCUGCUUUGUAUAUAUAUAUUUAUAUAUAUAUAUAUUUUUAUAUAUAAUAUAAAAAACAGUAUCUUCUAUCGCUUGCGAGAAGAAAGCAAAACAGGAUGCCUUAGGCGAUCCAAAAAGCUGUUCGUCCGUAUGUCUAUACAGCCGAACAUGCAGAAUAAGAAAACAGUCUGGGCCUUUCAAAAUUGAUCAUAAUGAUCUUUUUUUUGAACUUGUUCCAGAUCGAUUAUUGUUCUAUCGUCUAUUUGUCAUUUUAUCUCUCGUCGUAUCAUCGUGUGAUUGCUGCUAAAAUAUGAAAAAUGACACAACUCCCGUUUCUGAUUAUCGUUCCGGCGCGAAGUAAGAUGGAUUCUUCGAAUAGAGGACCAUGAGGAUGAGAAGGGCGAGGACGAAGAGGCGGCUACCGUGACUCGAAUAAAGCGUGACGACGCCUGCCAGCCACCACAACGUCGGGCAGCCACCCGGUGCCGAGCUGAUCCCUCUUUGAAUCGCUGCAGGAUGCUCCCCUAUACCGUUUCCCAUAUCUGUAUACUUAAUCUACUUAUACUAUCAUGAAAACUCUGUGGAAGUUUUUUUUUUUCGGAUAGAAAAGUCGAUACGGCUGUUUUAAGAGAUUCGUUUAUAGAGUUGCGUUUAGACUUCUAAUUGGAUUUGAAUCAAGAAGUUGACGAAGGAUUGACCCGAAACUGUGUUGAAUUAUCGGAAUGCGAAAAUAGGGCUCACCAUUCAACACGUGAAGUUGCACGCUUGCGCUGUCCAAACUGCUCGGACUGCAAGUGUAAUUGCCCGAAUCUUCCCGCCUCGCUUUAUGGAUCAGGAGACUGCUGACCGUGUCGUGAUCGAUCCUCUUCGUCUGGAUGUCGAUCUUGUUCAGUUGGUAGUCCAGGACGCGGUCACCCUCGUGGUACCAGAAAACGUAGAAAGGGCCCUCGAGGGAUUGCUUGAUCACACAUCGUAUCGCAACUGUACUUCCGGUCUUCACGUACAUGUCGCGGUCGCCUAUGAUCUCGAUCUUUGGCACUGGAAAAUCACAGCUAGUAUCUAUUUUUUCCCCUUAUAAUUCAGUGAAUUUAAAGGAAAUGCAUUGCACGUAAUAUAUUCUUGAAAAAUGUUUUAAUCCACGUUACGUAAAAAUAUCAAGUUUUUUUUAAAUAUCGUGAUCUUAGUUUAAAAAUUGCGUGACUAGAAAAAAAAAAAUAAAAAUAAAAACGUUGAACAAAGAAUAAAAUUCUACGUUGAAAUGGUUAAUUACUAGAUAUUGUAAAUAUUAUAUGGAAUUCUUGAUAUUUUGAUCUAUUCGUUGAUAAUACUUAGAUAUUAUGAUAAAGAAAUAUUUAUAUAUUUCGUGAUAAAAAAAACUUCUACUGAUUAUCAUCUAUCGAUAGCCGACUAUCGUGAGACACGUACGACAUGUUAAUUAUAUAAUAAUCUAUUUUUUUUUUUUUCACAGUGUAUACAUUUGAAAACAUAUACUAUUUCCUGCGAGGAUUAAACGAUGCCGAUUGUCGUGGGUCAUCCAUGGCCCAUUCGGUAUGUUAAAUGUAUCGCAAGAAGGUGAUCGUACGACAAAGAAAAUUAAUUACUAAAUAUACGAAGCGAUUAUCCGAGCGAAGUUUUAUUACACUUUAACGCUCACAGGUACGAGUGUUACGUGAAAGAGAAAAUGUCUGUAUUUUACGCUCGUAUAAUUUUUUAUCACGUCGUUGGAACAUGGUUCACGAAGUGCUCGGACGAUCGAUGACAGAGCUCUUCUCACCCGACGUAAAAAUAACACUUGCGUGGAAUUGAACGAGGAUGGUCAAUGAUCAAUCUCUAAUAAAUCGUAAUUACACGGGUAUCGAUAUAAAUAUUGCAAGCGAUCCAAGAAAAUUAAAUUAUCCAUUCACUUUGACAAUUUUUGACCUCGUCGUUCACAAGUAUCAUCGAGGAAAUUUUUUUCGCAAUCUCACCGACGAUGUUGAGCUUGAUGAUGUGACUCUUCUUCGGGUCGGUCGAGAUUUGGCACUCGUACUCGCCUUCGUCGCGUGCCUGCACGUACUUAACCUGCAGGGUCCAAGUGUCCGACGCAUCUACGAAAAGCGCUUGAAACCUUUCGUCCGGGAUAAACAUGGUUCUAUCUACUGAGAGGAUAUGCGAGUCCCUUCUUCGGAUCCACGACACCUUUUGCGUUACAGGAAAGAACAGAUUAAUUUUAAUAAUAUCGUCGACGAGUACUUGUCGUUUUAGAAGAUUUGAAG
Molecule: long non-coding RNA, 2857 nt
Organism: Apis florea (little honeybee)
Lineage: Eukaryota; Metazoa; Arthropoda; Insecta; Hymenoptera; Apidae
Source: RefSeq, a predicted model, not a curated record